GGAUGUGGCUCAGUGGCAGAGUGCUUGCCUAGCAUGUGUGAGGCACUGGGUUCGAUUCUCAGCACCA
Molecule: transfer RNA, 67 nt
Filed under: Marmota monax (woodchuck)
Lineage: Eukaryota; Metazoa; Chordata; Mammalia; Rodentia; Sciuridae
Description: tRNA.Ala
Source: RNAcentral